Molecule: ribosomal RNA, 515 nt
Filed under: uncultured euryarchaeote
Lineage: Archaea; Methanobacteriati; Methanobacteriota
Description: bacterial SSU rRNA
Rfam family: Archaeal small subunit ribosomal RNA
Source: RNAcentral
GCGCGAAACCUUCACAAUGCACGAAAGUGUGAUGAGGGUACUCCGAGUGCGCAUACAUUGUAUGUGCUUUUCUGCAGCGUAAAUAGUUGCAGGAAUAAGGGCUGGGCAAGACCGGUGCCAGCCGCCGCGGUAACACCGGCAGCCCUAGUGGUGGCCGCUUUUAUUGGGCCUAAAGCGUCCGUAGCCGGAUAGGCAAGUCUUUGAGUAAAUCCUACGUCUUAAGCGUGGGAAUUCUAAAGAUACUACCUGUCUUGAGGCCGGGAGAGGCUAGAGGUACUCCUGGGGUAGGGGUAAAAUCCUAUAAUCCUGGGGGGACCACCGAUGGCGAAGGCAUCUAGCUGGAACGGGCCUGACGGUGAGGGACGAAACCCAGGGGAGCGAGCCGGAUUAGAUACCCGGGUAGUCCUGGGCGUAAAUGAUGUGGGCUUGGUGUGAGCGCAUCGACGAGGUGCGUUUGUGCCGUAGGGAAGCCGUUAAGCCCACCGCCUGGGGAGUACGGUCGCAAGGCUGAAACU